CAAGGCCUACAUUCUGAUCUCAACGUAAUAAAUAAUUCCUAUGAUAAAAAUAAAGAGAGAAGCCAAAGCCAGUAUUGAAUUUCACAAACAUACAGGCCUCCCUAAGCAGAAUCGAUAAGUU
Telopea speciosissima is the source of this 121-nucleotide long non-coding RNA. RefSeq lists it as uncharacterized. The record is from RefSeq and is a predicted model, not a curated record. Lineage: Eukaryota; Viridiplantae; Streptophyta; Magnoliopsida; Proteales; Proteaceae. The transcript is spliced from 2 exons.